GAUGAACGCUGGCGGCGUGCCUAAUACAUGCAAGUCGAGCGAACAGAUAAGGAGCUUGCUCCUUUGACGUUAGCGGCGGACGGGUGAGUUACACGUGGAUAACCUACCUAUAAGACUGGGAUAACUUCGGGAAACCGGAGCUAAUACCGGAUAACAUAUUGAACCGCAUGGUUCAAUAGUGAAAGGCGGCUUUGCUGUCACUUAUAGAUGGAUCCGCGCCGUAUUAGCUAGUUGGUAAGGUAACGGCUUACCAAGGCAACGAUACGUAGCCGACCUGAGAGGGUGAUCGGCCACACUGGAACUGAGACACGGUCCAGACUCCUACGGGUGGCAGCAGUAGGGAAUCUUCCGCAAUGGGCGAAAGCCUGACGGAGCAACGCCGCGUGAGUGAUGAAGGUCUUCGGAUCGUAAAACUCUGUUAUCAGGGAAGAACAAAUGUGUAAGUAACUGUGCACAUCUUGACGGUACCUGAUCAGAAAGCCACGGCUAACUACGUG
This 497-nucleotide ribosomal RNA is filed under the name uncultured bacterium. RNAcentral describes it as "partial 16S ribosomal RNA". It matches the Rfam family "Bacterial small subunit ribosomal RNA", at positions 28 to 507 of the family's 1533-position model. The record is from RNAcentral.